This 1145-nucleotide long non-coding RNA is filed under the name Parus major (Great Tit). RNAcentral's name for it is "lncRNA (ENSPMJG00000002003.1)". Lineage: Eukaryota; Metazoa; Chordata; Aves; Passeriformes; Paridae. The record is from RNAcentral.
CAGCCCGGAAGCGGAAGCGGAAGCCGGAAGCAGCGAGAUCGAGUUGGUUUUCCGGCCUCACCCGCUGCUGGUGGAGAAGGGGGAGUACUGCCAGACACGGUGAGCGGCCUUCGGCCUCGGCCUCCUCAUCCUUGUCCUCCUCAUCUUCCUCUCCAUCCUGCUCCUCUUCCUUUUCCUUCUCCUCCUCAUCUUCCUCUCCUUCCUGCUCCUCUUCCUUUUCCUUCUCCUCCUCAUCUUCCUCUCCUUCCUGCUCCUCUUCCUCUUCCUUCUCCUCCUCCUCCUCAUCUUCCUCUCCAUCCUGCUCCUCUUCCUCAUCUUCAUCUUCCUUUUCCUUCUCCUCCUCCUCCUCAUCUUCCUCUCCGUCCUCCUCUUCUUCAUCUUCGUCAUCCUCUUCCUCUCCAUCCUGCUCUUCUUCCUCGUCCUCAUCGUCCUCCUCCUCUUCCUCUCCAUCCUCAUCAUCCUCAUCUUCCUCAUCCUCAUCCUUCUCUUCCUCAUCCUUUUCCUCCUCAUCUUCUUCUCCGUCCUCCUCUUCCUCUCCGUUCUCUUCUUCUUCCCCAUCCUCAUCUUCUUCCUCUCCGUACUCCUCUUCCUCAUCCUCAUCCUUCUCCUCCUUUUCCUUGUCCUCCUCAUCUUCCUCUCCAUCCUGCUCUUCCUCAUCUUCCUCUUCUUCCUCAUCCUUAUCAUCCUCAUCUUCCUCUUCCUCAUCCUCGUCCUCCUCAUCCUCGUCCUCAUCUUCCUUUCCAGCCUCCUCUUCCUCAUCCUCAUCAUCUUCAUCUUCCUCUCCAGCCUCCUCUUCUUCGUCUUCCUCAUCCUCCUCAUCAUCAUCCUUGUCCUCCUCUUCCUCAUCCUCCUCAUCCUCUCCAUCCUCAUCAUCCUCGUCUUCCUCAUGCUCAUCCUCGUCCUCAUCCUCUCUACCCUCCUUAUCUUCAUCCUCGUCCUCAUCUUCAUCACUCUCUUCUUCAUCCUCAUCCUCCUAUUCCUCUUCUUCCUCAUCUUUGACCUUUUCUUCUUCAUCUUCAUCCUCGUCUUCCUCAUCUUUCUCCUCUACUUCAUCCUCAUCCUCAUCCUCUUCCUCCUCUUCCUCUCCAUCCUCAUCUUCAUCUUCAUCCUCGUCAUCCUCAUCCUCCUCAGCCUCAUCCUUGUCC